UUGACCUCGGAUCAGGUAGGAAUACCCGCUGAACUUAAGCAUAUCAAUAAGCGGAGGAAAAGAAACCAACAGGGAUUGCCCUAGUAACGGCGAGUGAAGCGGCAACAGCUCAAAUUUGAAAUCUGGCUCUCGGGCCCGAGUUGUAAUUUGUAGAGGAUACUUUUGAUGCGGUGCCUUCCGAGUUCCCUGGAACGGGACGCCAUAGAGGGUGAGAGCCCCGUCUGGUUGGAUGCCAAAUCUCUGUAAAGUUCCUUCAACGAGUCGAGUAGUUUGGGAAUGCUGCUCUAAAUGGGAGGUAUAUGUCUUCUAAAGCUAAAUACCGGCCAGAGACCGAUAGCGCACAAGUAGAGUGAUCGAAAGAUGAAAAGCACUUU
RNAcentral lists this ribosomal RNA (374 nucleotides) under Fusarium sp. NRRL 43735. Its description in RNAcentral is "eukaryotic LSU rRNA". It matches the Rfam family "Eukaryotic large subunit ribosomal RNA", at positions 1 to 377 of the family's 3401-position model. The record is from RNAcentral. Lineage: Eukaryota; Fungi; Ascomycota; Sordariomycetes; Hypocreales; Nectriaceae.